UACGUAGGGUGCGAGCGUUGUCCGGAAUUACUGGGCGUAAAGAGCUCGUAGGCGGUUUGUUGCGUCGGCUGUGAAAUCCCGAGGCUCAACCUCGGGUCUGCAGUCGAUACGAGCAAACUAGAGUGUUGCAGGGGAGACUGGAAUUCCUGGUGUAGCGGUGAAAUGCGCAGAUAUCAGGAGGAACACCCGUGGCUAUGGCGGCUCUCUAGUACGGUACUGACGCUGAGACGCGAAAGCGUGGGGAGCGAACAGG
This 253-nucleotide ribosomal RNA is filed under the name uncultured bacterium. Its description in RNAcentral is "partial 16S ribosomal RNA". It matches the Rfam family "Bacterial small subunit ribosomal RNA", at positions 524 to 776 of the family's 1533-position model. The record is from RNAcentral.